CCUACGGGGUGCUGCAGUGGGGAAUAUUGGACAAUGGGGGCAACCCUGAUCCAGCCAUGCCGCGUGUGUGAAGAAGGCCCUCGGGUUGUAAAGCACUUUCAGUGAGGAAGAACGCCUGGUGGUUAAUACCCAUCAGGAAAGACAUCACUCACAGAAGAAGCACCGGCUAACUCCGUGCCAGCAGCCGCGGUAAUACGGAGGGUGCGAGCGUUAAUCGGAAUUACUGGGCGUAAAGCGCGCGUAGGUGGCUUGAUAAGCCGGUUGUGAAAGCCCCGGGCUCAACCUGGGAACGGCAUCCGGAACUGUCAAGCUAGAGUGCAGGAGAGGAAGGUAGAAUUCCCGGUGUAGCGGUGAAAUGCGUAGAGAUCGGGAGGAAUACCAGUGGCGAAGGCGGCCUUCUGGACUGACACUGACACUGAGGUGCGAAAGCGUGGGUAGCAAUCAGGAUUAGAUACCCUAGUAGUC
RNAcentral lists this ribosomal RNA (465 nucleotides) under Vreelandella stevensii. RNAcentral describes it as "partial 16S ribosomal RNA". It matches the Rfam family "Bacterial small subunit ribosomal RNA", at positions 338 to 795 of the family's 1533-position model. The record is from RNAcentral. Lineage: Bacteria; Pseudomonadati; Pseudomonadota; Gammaproteobacteria; Oceanospirillales; Halomonadaceae.